GACGAACGCUGGCGGCGUGCUUAACACAUGCAAGUCGAACGGAAAGGCCCUGCUUUUGUGGGGUGCUCGAGUGGCGAACGGGUGAGUAACACGUGAGUAACCUGCCCUUGACUUUGGGAUAACUUCAGGAAACUGGGGCUAAUACCGGAUAGGAGCUCCUGCUGCAUCGUGUGGGUUGGAAAGUUUCGGCGGUUGGGGAUGAACUCGCGGCUUACCAGCUUGUUGGUGGGGUAGUGGCUUACCAAGGCUUUGACGGGUAGCCGGCCUGAGAGGGUGACCGGCCACAUUGGGACUGAGAUACGGCCCAGACUCCUACGGGAGGCAGCAGUGGAGAAUAUUGAACAAUGGGCGGAAGCCUGAUGCAGAAACGCCGCGUGCGGGAUGACGGCCUUCGGGUUGUAAGCCGCUUUCGCCUGUGACGAGGCGUGAGUGACGGUAAUGGGUAAAGAAGCACCGGCUAACUACGUG
Molecule: ribosomal RNA, 468 nt
Filed under: uncultured bacterium
Lineage: Bacteria
Description: partial 16S ribosomal RNA
Rfam family: Bacterial small subunit ribosomal RNA
Source: RNAcentral